RNAcentral lists this unclassified non-coding RNA (456 nucleotides) under Allium atrorubens. RNAcentral describes it as "partial external transcribed spacer". The record is from RNAcentral. Lineage: Eukaryota; Viridiplantae; Streptophyta; Magnoliopsida; Asparagales; Amaryllidaceae.
ACACUGGCACUGCCGUACACUCACCAACAACUACACGCAUCGAUGCAGUCCGAGGGGCGAAACAACGCCGGUUGACUGCUCAUGGUGUUGAAAAAGUGCGGACACGCUACUUGAAGCAGUCCAAAGCACAACGGAAGCACCUUUUGCCUGCGCCAAACCUUACGCUACAARCUACUACCACAAACAUGGAGGGGAGGAGAAAGGGCUCACAAACCCCCCAUGCUACAACCUUCGGAACCAUAAAACUAGCGAAGCAACACAACGGUUAGUAAAAAUAGCAACCCGCGAGGUUAUCAAAAUGCCCACAACACGUACGAUUUCUAAGUACCCUUCGGAAGGGUAACACGAAAAUUAAGCAUCGAACCAAAAAGGUCGUGGCAGAUUUUUUCCGGACGUGCUAAGCACCGCGUAGGAUUUUUWAAAUCCUGCCAACGCUUUGCAACAACACAUCCACGG